Vespa mandarinia (Asian giant hornet) is the source of this 624-nucleotide long non-coding RNA. RefSeq lists it as uncharacterized. The record is from RefSeq and is a predicted model, not a curated record. Lineage: Eukaryota; Metazoa; Arthropoda; Insecta; Hymenoptera; Vespidae.
AAAAGGAAAAAAUACAUGAGCUGCGAGAAGAAAAAAAAAAUGAUCUUACUUUUCUAAAGAUGAUAAGAUAGUUGGAUAAGUGUAGUCGAGUAAUGACAAUAGAUGAAGCCUUGGAAUUUUCAUUAUCGACUACCACUUUUCACAGAACUAUUUUCCUCGAGGGCACGAGUAUAAAUGAAAUCGUAAGGAACGAAAAUACAGUUAUUCGGACAUUUCCUCUUCGACGAUGUCGUCAGCUGUGUUUGGCAUUCUCAUUGAUGAAACAGCAUGGAGCUGUUACACUUUUGUUGUUUCAUCGAUAGUAAUAACUCAAGCAUACUAACAAUAACCAGAAUGGGAGAAAGAGAAAAAGGAAGAAAACUAUGUCGAUCGAACGGCUGUUUAGUUGAAAGAUUACUAUUAUUAUUUGAGAAUAUUGGACGGAUAUUAAUAAUAAAGAUUUCCCUAAAGAUUUUAAACCUAUUAAGAAUUAUUUGAAAUUGAUAUAUUAACGCACUUGUUUAAUUCAAUUGAUAUAAUGACUAUUAUUGAUGAAAAUAUUGAUGAAGACUAGUUUAUCAAUUUUUGUUUAAUUUACGCUCAUAACGUUAUAUAAUAAUGUAAUUAAAUAAUAUUAUUUCCUCA